CGGAUUAUUCACAAAAACAAAACAGAUAUAUCAGAUACAACAUACGGACACAACAAAGUACCAAAGGAAUGUCAAAAUGGAACCCAGAACAGCAUCAUAUCAAAUUCAAUGUAUACAGAGUUACUUUCUUCGAUUGAAUAUACUUAUGCCAUACUCAGUGCAGAACCUGACUCAUUUGCUCAACAUGGAAACCAGAACAACAGCAUAUCAAAUUCGACUUAUAUAGAGCUAGAUAAUUCGGGUGAAUACUCUUAUGCCAC
Molecule: long non-coding RNA, 260 nt
Filed under: Mytilus galloprovincialis (Mediterranean mussel)
Lineage: Eukaryota; Metazoa; Mollusca; Bivalvia; Mytilida; Mytilidae
Source: RNAcentral